GACGAACGCUGGCGGCGUGCCUAAUACAUGCAAGUAGAACGCUGAAGAGAGGAGCUUGCUCUUCUUGGAUGAGUUGCGAACGGGUGAGUAACGCGUAGGUAACCUGCCUGGUAGCGGGGGAUAACUAUUGGAAACGAUAGCUAAUACCGCAUAAAAUUGAUUAUUGCAUGAUAAUUAAUUGAAAGAUGCAAUUGCAUCACUACCAGAUGGACCUGCGUUGUAUUAGCUAGUUGGUGAGGUAACGGCUCACCAAGGCGACGAUACAUAGCCGACCUGAGAGGGUGAUCGGCCACACUGGGACUGAGACACGGCCCAGACUCCUACGGGAGGUAGCAGUAGGGAAUCUUCGGCAAUGGGGGGAACCCUGACCGAGCAACGCCGCGUGAGUGAAGAAGGUUUUCGGAUCGUAAAGCUCUGUUGUAAGAGAAGAACGGGUGUGAGAGUGGAAAGUUCACAC
RNAcentral lists this ribosomal RNA (457 nucleotides) under Streptococcus sanguinis. Its description in RNAcentral is "bacterial SSU rRNA". It matches the Rfam family "Bacterial small subunit ribosomal RNA", at positions 28 to 469 of the family's 1533-position model. Lineage: Bacteria; Bacillati; Bacillota; Bacilli; Lactobacillales; Streptococcaceae. The record is from RNAcentral.